CCGUUCACCGUCGGAUUGUUGUUUGAAGACUCAAAUCAAUCGGAUCAUCACAUCGUCCUUUGAAGGGAAGCAUAAAGUUAUUUUCCAUCAUUCGCUUGAAAAAAUGAGUUCAAAGGUUGGCAUCUAACCGGUUGUGUGGAGCGCGCGUUUUCCCACAGUCUUAUCCGGGUAUGUGAAAUUUUGCUUCGCGGAUGUGUGUAAAUUUUGCAAAUUACAAAAAGUACUGUGUUAUGUGAUUUGGGAUUCGAGAAAAAAAACACCAAACGCGGAACGAACUUUUCCGAAAGAUACAAGUUUUUGCUGCCUGUUGGUUUUUGCUUAUCAUACUGCUGGUAAUUAAAAAGUUUUAUGUUGCCUCAAAAAUCAAAGCUGGUUUGGUGUAGCUUGUUAUCAUAACAGUCAGUAUUUGUUUCGUCUUUAAACGAUAUACCCAUGUGCGACUGAGAAACCCAGUUUGAUUCACAUUGUACAGCAUGUAGUCUAAUAAAUCGAACGUGCAAUGUGAAGCCAGAAGAAGUUACAUAUGUACACGAUACAGUUACGGAACAAUUCGCGAAUUCAACUUCCAAUCGCAAACGCCUUUUCUUAGGUGUACUUUGUUACAAUAUCUGCGUGUUACAUAAAUAGAGGCGAAAAACAGAAAUACGUUUGCUUGUAUUGUUCAGCGGAAUGCAGUCUAGCAGGUUCCACGACCAACUACCGACUGUUUCGGAAACGCAGUAAAACAAAACCCUUCCAAACACACAAUUCGUACUUGGCGGUUUCCAUAGCAGACUAUUUACCGAAACCCCGACCGAAAAUUUCCGCCAACCAGCAAACCAUGAAUCGAUCCCGCUCGGUUCCCGGCACCGGAGGAGGCGGCCGAACGCAACAGCUCCCUUCCGGUUCGGGUGGCGUUGACCUAGCGACCGCCCUAAACACCCGAGGCAAAACGAUGAUAAUGAAAAGCGUUUCGAUUUUUCUGGCCAGUGGCAAACGAAGCGGCGACGAGUUGUCACCGGAUAAGACCGGAUCCGGAUCCGGACAGCAGUCCGGUCGCUGCGGUGGUAAAUCGGAUCAACCGAAGCGGGAACUGAAUCCUGGUGAGCGAGAACGACGGCGAAAUAGGAGAAUCCUGGCCAAAAUGGAUGAGCUAAACGGGAAGCUCAAUCCGAAGAUGCUGGAAUCGUACAAACGAAGGACGCAUUUUUCCAAGGUCGAAGUGGAGGCCCUCUGCAAAAUAUUCCGCAAGCUGGUAACGAACGCAACCCUAAACUCGAAGGCCCUCGCAGCGAAUAACGCCGGAGUCAUUGCAAAGGCCGGUUCCUCCACGGAUGGCAUCGAUAGGUCAGUGUUCCGUGAACUACUGCACAGCACCUUCGACAUCGUAACGGAUGAAACACUGAUGGAAAGAAUUUUCUGCGCUUGGGAGAAAGGUUUCGAAGGUUUACCGAUUCGGUUGGAGGGUUGGAUACUGGGAUUGUCGACCUUCCUGAAGGGUUCCGAAGCGGAGAGGACGGCUUUCUGCUUCCGAGUGUACGAUUUGAACAGUGAUGGGUUUAUCACGAAAGACGAGAUGUUUGCACUUCUGAGGAACUGUUUGAUCAAGCAACCCCAGGACGAAGAUCCGGAUGAAGGGGUGAGGGAUCUGGUCGAGAUUACGCUGAGGAAGUUGGAUAUGGAUAAGGAUGGGAAGGUAUCAUUCCAUGAUUACCAGGAAGCAAUAACUGUAGAACCUCUAUUACUGGAAGCUUUUGGACAGUGUCUACCAUCGGAUCGAGCAACUGUGUCCUUCCUCUCGACACUGCAAACGCAGCACUCAUCAUAAACCAGGUUAAACGAUCUACCAUAAUUCAAUUCGGUGGCACAUCAAACAAUGAAAAUUAGAUUUUCUCAAAACAUCAACACAACAAUAAAUAAUGAAUAGAACCUGAGCCAUAAUUCUUCUAGUGGGCCACUGACUGGUUCAGGGGAAAGCCAAGAGGAAUCCUCUUAGGUUUGAACUUCAUCAACCGGCUCUUGACUCGAAAAACUCGUCAUUGGAAGAACAGAACAACGCAGAUCGCUGACCUAAUAAUCGUGUUUUGAAAGCAAACAUUCUUUAUUCCGUGCAUGCACUGUUGUAGGGUGUUUGUUCCUAUAUUUGUCUUAUAUGUCAGGAAAUAUGAAUUACAUCAUAUUAACUCAAAAAUAAAUGUAUAUUUUGAUUGAACGCAGUUUAUUUGGUUGCCACUUUAUUGACAUUUCCAUCCCAGCCUUCAGUUGUUCGUUUUUAAAUUAUUUGAUUUUCUAACGAAAAUGGUACCUGGUUCUCGAUUUAAAUUGAAUUUUAAGAGAAUAGAAUGAAUAUAUGAUCUAAGGUAAAUAUAGGAACAAUUCAUGGAAGCACAAACAUUUCUUUGUAUUUUACUUCCUAGUAUUACAAUAGCGGGCGUAUACAAUUACACAGC
This is an RNA transcript of Topomyia yanbarensis, 2429 nucleotides long. It is a transcript of the gene named calaxin-like, with no coding region annotated. The record is from RefSeq and is a predicted model, not a curated record. NCBI's taxonomy places the organism in Eukaryota, Metazoa, Arthropoda, Insecta, Diptera, Culicidae. The transcript is spliced from 6 exons.